UGUAUACAAAGUCAGGUGUGAUGGAUAUAC
RNAcentral lists this non-coding RNA (30 nucleotides) under Rattus norvegicus (Norway rat). Lineage: Eukaryota; Metazoa; Chordata; Mammalia; Rodentia; Muridae. The record is from RNAcentral.